UACACAAAACUGCAAAACAAUCUUCUGUUUUCUUUAACAAAAACAGUGGGAGGUUAGAGCAUGGGAACUUGCACAGGGUUUUCAAUCACGACAUUAGUUAACAUUAUUCCCUUUCAGACCUGUUUUUCUGCUCUUGUUUUCCCAAUAUAUUUCUGUUGUGUAUUUCUAAGUUGCAGCCUAUGUUCUCGUUGCAGUUCUGCUGGUUAUUAACAUUUGUAGCUGUUGCAACUCUGAAAUCGUUCAGUUGCUUUGUAACUUAUGCUGGGCGGCUUUUUGGAGGUAUGUAGGAAAUAGCAAUGUCAGCUUGCAGUGAUUAAUCCUGAUACUGCUGAACUGAAUUUUAUGAAGUUUCAUUAUAGGUUAAGCACUAUUUAUUUGCUUUAUGCUGCUGUGCAGUGAAAAUAAAAUUGUACCUUACCCCUCCCAUAAUAGCCCUAUCACAUCCAACUGCACUUCUGAGAAGCACACCAAUCAUCCCCUGGGGACUUUCCCUCCUGCACGCUUUUCCAGUGGCACCAGCAGCAGUGGAACAUGGAGCUCUUCUGCCUUCAGCUUUCAGGUCUCAUCCCUUCUUGUGAGCACUGAGGAACGUACCCAAACCUGCUGCAGGAGGUCAGUGGCAUUCCAUAUACCCUCACAGACACGCAUGGAAGCCACUGCCUGAGUUCCCAAGAGAACAUAUUAAAGAUAAAGAGUGACCCCAUCUUUCUAGUCCAUCUCAGAUGCAGUUCCACCUGGGUCAGAAGGAAAUGCUCAUGUACAGCUCCUGCAGUACAGGUCCUGUGAGACCCCUGCACCAAGCAAGUUUCAGCUCCACCAUCAGAGGUAAAGACAAUGGCAACAACCAAGGUGAUCCAUGUGCUUUUGAAAACUGCAUGCAGCCCUCCUGCAUACGUAAAUGUCUUCAUCCUUUCUUGAUUCUCAGGAGCUAAAGGCAAACAAGCUGCUGGAUCUGGAUAGUAAAACACCUAUUUUUUGAAGCAAGCCAGCUCUGUGUCCUUAUCUUGCCUGUUCCAGAGGAAGGAAACUGAAAGUGGAUUAACUAACAUAAUGAAUGUUUCAAAGGAUAUAAAGUAAAAUCUGUUAUAUGAUGUAAAGCUGCGUUUCUUAGCUGAUAUUGCUAGGCCAGGUGGGUCCGAAGAGACUCUUUCUACUGCCAGAUGGAAUGGAAAAAGAACAGAAAGUAGAAAUGUAGCCUUAUACUGGGGGUUUACAAUGGACUCCACUACAGGGUGGUAGCAGAUGCUCCACACCUAUGAUUCAGUGUGGUUUGGUAACUCUUCAUGGGUUAUUCUCCUGCAUCUUAUUUAUCUAAAAAUAUCAGUAAACUUCCUGUUUGUACAGCACAUAGGGGACAUAUUUCCCAGUGUAUCAGCAGAGCCCCUGGGUCCUCUCCUAAAGUGAAAUAACUCCACUUUAUAUAGGAAGAAAAAGGGUUAGUAAAGGGUUUUCUUUUAUUGAAUUGUAGUAUCAUUUGGUAGGGAAAUAGAUAAGGGAAAUCUCAGUUAAAACACAAGCUACAAUUAGGACAAUACAUUUGAAAUGAUGAAAUACUUCUUGCCUGGAGCUCAGAAGCCAUAUUAAGAAUUGAAGUGUGAGAUAUUUGUUUUUAGUAGCUGUCAACAUGUAAUUUGUUUUCUUUACUUCUGGGAUUAAUACCUAAUUAUGGUGCACACAUGAAUUAAGAAGAUUGAGUGCAUUACUACACAUAUCUCUCUGGCUAAAAUCAGAACUCCUUUCCACAGAAUCUGUUUCACCGUGCUCUUCCAUGUUGACUUCAGCAACUCUGUGCACCUUACAGCCACCACAGGAAGUCCCUGACCUUGUCUCUUUUCAAAAGCCUGUUGUGUGAGAGAUAUCUGCUGCUGUUCUCCAUAUCACACUUUCCAACUCUUUGCUACAACUUGCUGCUGCAGAGUACAGCUGUCACUUCUGGAAGUUUUCAAGCUGUUUCUUAUUAACUGAUUAGAGUACUCAUUUCAGGAGAAUCUGUUACGAAAAGAUACCACAGUACACCACAGCAAAUUGUUUCAUUUCCAAGUUUGUUGUUACAUCUUACUCACUUGCAGAUCAUUCAACAAUGUUAAUGUGGUAGUUAGCCAUCACUAAUUUUCUUUUCCAGGUCCUGGAGGCAACUGUACCAGAAGUUAUACCACAGGCGACAGACCUGUCUGUGGUAAGAGGGAAGAAGUUGACUUUUUACAAGUAGCAUGUAGAAAAUAAAGACAGCCAUGCCCAGAUAUACAGUGACAUUUCAAAGAGGACCUAAAUGUUUAGAACUGCAAUGAAAUAUUAAGAAACCUGCAUUUGUUGUCAAUGUGUGUAGAAGUGGAAUUCAUCUCUGAAGAGUGACUCUGGAUUCAUCAUGAACUGGUGAGCUGUUUCAACGCCUCUCAGUCUUUAGGUUGUUCCACCUGCACAUACUGCCAACAUCAAGGAAUGUGAAUUAUAGGGCAGGUUUUGGGGCCAGUCUGUCUCUCAAGUGGAAUCUGAAAGAGAUUUUAGCUAGUUGUGUCAGAUCACUGAAGCACACCUGAUUUUGUGUGACCUGCAGUCUGCAAUGUAGCUAUGCUUAACUUGCAGGUAUCAAAAAAGCAGUCAGAGAAACCUAACAGAUGACUACAUAGAAACUGCUGAAAAAUUAUAGGGAUCUGCAAAUAAAAUAAGUUGAAAACUUGUUUUUAAGCAAUAUUGAUAACACAUUUGAAUGAAAAUAAUUAGUAUUGAAUAAUUGAUAACUGCAUCAGAAGGCUCAUGUACGUAAGUAAAAGAUUGCUGCUGCUUGUUUUUUCAGCAACUUCUGUUCCAGGCAAUGGAGCUGGUUUUGUCUCCAGCUUAUGCAAUGUUAGCAAAAUUGAGGUCUAAUUAAGUCUCAUUAAGCCUCACAAUUCUCCCUUUUUCCCUCCCCCCUCUAAUUUUACUCUUAUAAGAUAUUGAUCUUCUUGGUGUAAGCCAUCACAUUCACUGGUGCAAAUGCUCUCACUCCAUACAGAGACAUUUCAGGACUGUAUUUUUGAAAUAGGCAAUUUCUUUUCACAAAAGACUCAGCAGUCUAGUUUUUAUGCAGUUCCCUUUGGGAGCCACAGUAAAACUUCUGUGAAUGCUGCACUCAGUGCAGGGUACUUCACUGGCCUUCAUAAUUAGGAAACAUUGCUGCCUGAGCCUUGUUCAGACAGAUGAUUUCAACAGCCAAGUGAAUGUACUUAGCAGCAAAGCACGCUGUUCCUUUUUCAUUGCCUCUAAGACAGGAGAACUAUUCAGAGCUGCCUGAGCACAAUUAUUAAAUGUUCUGAGCUGCUUGGAGCCAUUUCAGUCAAUCUGAACAUUUAUUUCCUGUCAUAGCAAUGCAGAGUGAAGGCACUGACAGUCCUUAAAUGCAUUGCUCAGGGUAUACAACAAUUCAUAACCUAGCUUCUGGGCCAGGUGGUUUUAAGAUGUCCAGUGGUUUAGGUAGCACAGGUAUUGCUUCCUUGUGAUCACCUUGUGAUGAUGCUUUAACUAGCUGUAACACUGUGGCUGGGGACAGAUGUCCGGAACAGUGGUAAAUAGAGAUUUUUUUUUUCUCCUUUACAUCAUGGGCUUGAAGAGAGGCCAAGUACCUGGCACCUGAUGACUGCAGACUGUUGAACCAUGGCACAUAUGAGAUGAGCAUUUAAAAAGACGUGAUUGAGAACUUUUCUGUACAACUUGGACAGCAUUUCUGACAAUGCCAACAGCUAAGCCAUUAAGGCAAUGGACUUGGACCCUGAAUGCCAUUCUAACUUCCCUGAGUAUCACCCGAUCUUCAGGAUAAUGCAAAAAGAGAUCUUCCUCCAAAUACGGAAAUAUUGUUUUCCAUAUCAAUACUAUUUUUUUCCCAGUCUGCUUACCUCUAGCUUUGCAUCUGUUUACCCCUCACCAACCUCAUUACUAAUUCAAUCAUCUGAAUCCCCACCAGCAUCUACAGCCACCUAUGUUUUCUUCAUGAGUUAAAAAAGGAAAAAGAAACCCGUUUAUAUUGCUCAUUAUGUUCCAUGAAGUUAAUCUUAUUUGCAUAAAAAAGGUUUCCCCAGAAAAUCAAAUGAGGCUGACAGAUGUCCUAAAGAUUCUUUUUGUGCCUCAGAGGAAUACAUUGUAGAAACUGUUUACUGUAUCCUGAGUAAUGGGGUCUGUGAUAAGCAAUUUGUUUUGUAUGAAAACAAUGUCACCUCAAGCAGCUGAAGGAUAUCAUAUGACUUUCCCACACUGUCAGUGUUCCAUUUUAUCUCUUGGCUUCUUAGCACCUGCUGUAUUGAAAAUUAAUACAAGGGAAAGAGAAAAUUGCUGAAAACAUGUUAAACAUGCUACUGCAUUUCAAGGAUGUCGUGGUUAACUUUGCCAAUAUUAAAACCAGAAUCUAGUAGAAACCUGCACUUUGUGUGCAGUAUAUUAGAGCUGGCUUCAGGAUGAUGGGUCCCAUAGAAUUAUUACCCCUUAGGUCUGCAGAUGUUUCUUUUCUGGGACCUGACAGAACUUGAGGUUUAAGGAGGCUUUGGAUUACAUAGGCUUUGUCUUGUGAGUCAUGCCUAAUGGAAAAAAGUUAAGGAAUUCUCAAAUGUCAUCUGAAAUCAGGACUAACCAUCCAAAAAUCUCUGUAACACUGGGAGACUCCAUAGCUUUGUUUGUUUUGUUGAUCAAUUGCCUGUGAAGAAGGGGCAUCUUAAAAUAGCUGAACAUGAUGAAGGGACACACUGGGGAGCUUUAGCAAUGGAGGAGGAACCUGAGGGAGGCAAGAAGAAAAUUGAACUGCCUUCCACAGUGUUACUGCUGGUGACAAAGUGCCCACUUAUUCAGCACAAUGACAACAUUUUUGUUCUCAGUGUGAAAGGGCUGAACUUAAAGGGAAGCAACCAGAUUUCUCAUAAGAAUAUAUAUUAUACACUCAGUUAUACUAAAUUACAGACACUAAAUGAACAAUACUAAGACAUCCCUGAAUAGUGAAUCAUGGCCUCGGGUACGUGCACUCUGGGAAGUGAGAUAAUGUAGCCUGGAGAAAUCACCAUUCAGAUACUUAUUUGUUGUUUGGCAUUGCAAGAGGACCAGAGCAUGCAAAUUCAAAGUGAGCCAGGCUGAUACAACCCACAGCAGUAUCAGGAUCUACACACCACUAGCCAGGCAUAGCCAGGGCAGUGUACACAAAUGUGAGACCAUGGAUGGCUGAAGCUACAGACACAGGCUGAUUUGGGGCUGGUUUUGUUCCCAGGGUAGCCAGGCAUACCCAGCAGGUGCUGUCUCCCAUGUGGUGAGCACAAUGCCAGCCUCUCUUGCCAUGAGGAAAGCUUCACAACAGCAUGUGUCACCAGAGCCACCCAGCUCCUGCCCUAUUCUCUUCCAGGGUGUGGGACUGUAGUGGGUUUGGUGCAGAUGGGUGCUGGGGAGUGGCAUCCAUCUUACUGUUUUCCUUCUGUCUCACUUAGCCCAGGCACUUCAUACUGAAAGCAGGUCUGCUGGAGCUCUGGAGAUGCCCUAUGCCAUUAAACAUAUAAAAGAGGAUGUGUAGCAAGGCACCCCACUUUGCAGUCAUUGCUGAGCAGCUGUUAGCAUUGCUACACUGUGGGACUGUGCAAAAGCUACCCAUCAAGAGAUGCAAAGGAGCCUGCUGAAUAUACGUCUGUGUAUGCAUCUUCUAGAAAACUGGAAGUUAUAGAAGCUUGAGCAUCUUUCCUGGUGCUUAUGUCACCAUAUAUGGCAUCUUUCCAUUGGAAGUUCUCAGUGGACUUUGCAAAGGUGGUUAAUGGGUCUCCUCAUUUGGGAGCUAUGAAGUCUUGCUGAGAGCUGUCUGUGCAAGUCAAAGACAGAACCAGGCAUGUGACCCAGGUUUCUGUCUCAAACUAUUCACUUCUCAUGAAGCACCACUGCCUUCUGGUAGGGACUUCUUCUACUGCAUCAUUCAGGAUUUAUGAAAGUGAUGUAACCAACAGUUUCCAAAGUUUUCCUUCUAUAACAAUGUUCCUCUGAGCAGGGAAAUUUCCUUCCAGGUGAUGUCUGACUUGACAUGGGUUCUCUGCCAGGAUGCGGUUGCUAUGACAGCUGCUCCUAGUUCUGCAAAUCCUCAUCCUGCCAAUCCUCCACAAACACAACUCUUGCAUAUCCUGUAUUCUCUGGUAAAUCAAAAUAUGUUUCUGGUUUUAGUCCUUUAAUCUUCUCAUUUCUGUGUCUCCUUUUGUUUGGAAUCAGUGAUGUUAAAGCAGCCUUGUGCUGCCAAUAUUUUAACAACAGGUUUUCAAUAAAAAUAACCCCACCUCAGUCUAUGACAGAUUUGGAGUGCUGUAUUGCUUGGGCUACUGAGAAGGGAGACUGGGGAAUCUACUUUUGUAGCUAGCCUUUCAAAUAAAAACUCUUUCACAUAAAACCCAGGAAGUUAACAUUACUUGGCAAAUAAAUGCAGCUUAAGUGCUCUUAAGUGAAAGUAGUCACAAUAAACCUUCCUCCUAAAAAAUCUGCUGGGUAAUUUUCCAAUGAUGUGAGCUGGGGUGCUGGAUGGGCUGGGAAAGUGCAUGUGUGUGCAGGAGUGGCCACUUAAAGGUUUUGAGAAAACUUAUUUUAGCAAAUGUUAUAGCCCACAGGGAUAUAUAUUCUUUCACU
This is a long non-coding RNA of Pezoporus occidentalis (night parrot), 6603 nucleotides long. RefSeq lists it as uncharacterized. Lineage: Eukaryota; Metazoa; Chordata; Aves; Psittaciformes; Psittacidae. The record is from RefSeq and is a predicted model, not a curated record. The transcript has 3 exons.